This 477-nucleotide ribosomal RNA is filed under the name uncultured bacterium. RNAcentral's name for it is "partial 16S ribosomal RNA". It matches the Rfam family "Bacterial small subunit ribosomal RNA", at positions 28 to 507 of the family's 1533-position model. The record is from RNAcentral.
GAUGAACGCUGGCGGCGUGCCUAAUACAUGCAAGUCGAGCGAACAGACGAGGAGCUUGCUCCUCUGACGUUAGCGGCGGACGGGUGAGUAACACGUGGAUAACCUACCUAUAAGACUGGGAUAACUUCGGGAAACCGGAGCUAAUACCGGAUAAUAUAUUGAACCGCAUGGUUCAAUAGUGAAAGACGGUUUUGCUGUCACUUAUAGAUGGAUCCGCGCCGCAUUAGCUAGUUGGUAAGGUAACGGCUUACCAAGGCAACGAUGCGUAGCCGACAUGAGAGGGGGAACGGACACAUGGGGACGGAGGUAGGGCCAAGACUGCUACGGGAGGCAGCAGGGGGGAAGAUUGAAAAAGGGGGGGAAGGGUGAUGCAGAAACGCAGGGUGCGGGAUGACGGCCGUCGGGUUGUAAACAGCGUGCGCCUGUGACGAAGCGGGAGUGACGGUAAUGGGUAAAGAAGCAACGGCUAACUACGUG